CUGAGUCUUCUAGAAUGUUCCUGGAAGCACUAAAUUAAAUCAGACUAUUCUAUGAGAACAUUGGUGCUUCCAGAAAACUCUUUAAUGCUGCUUUUGCAACAGGGCUCUCAAGGAGAGCUGAGAGGCUAAACAGGAUCCGGGGAGAGUGGAGACGCACAGACAUAAUAGAUGGAUCGCAUGCUAUUUAUACAGGCUGGCUCGGAAAACUGAGCGUGAGAGGAGAGAAAAUGAAGGGGAGUGAAGGAGGAAGAGAACAUGUUGACUCGCGCUAAUCUGUUUCAUCUCUCUCUACACUCCCUGUGUGCUUUUCUCUUAAACUGGAGAGGAAACCACACAGGCUCAUUUUCAAUCUAAGAAUCAAAUUCUUACAAUCACCUAUUCAAUAUUGGGUCAUGCUGAGUCCAAAUCCCCAGUAUCGCCUCAGCCAAUAGGAAGCUGGCGCUGUAACCACCCUGAUGAACAGAAUUUGCAGUGUUAGCAUAACAGUACAGAGCUGUUCAGUCAUUAAAAGUCAGUUUGUAGGCCAACCUGGAAGGCUAAUUCACUACGGGAAUUUCUAAUGGGUUUUUAGAUCAAUGGUUUUGGAUUUAGGUGUAUGGUUAACACUAAGCCUACUUGAUGACACUUUCUUAAUUACAUCUACUGUACCACAAAGAUGUACGUUUACAUACAAGUUUGGGGCCAGGCUCUGCCUCAAAGAAACAAUCUGUUCUCCUGGACUUCCUCUUUUAAUAGAAAUCUGAGUGAUGGCGCAUGAACAGGAAAUCUGCAGCGAGAACACCACAACAAAAGCUGCCGUCUCCAGUGUUUUCUCAGCAGAACAGAUUUGCGGGGCUGUUUUCUUGUGCCCUCAGUGAUGUUGUGACCAGGAUACACCUGCAUGUGGAAGCUGAGGGAAGGAAGCGAAUCAAGGAAGCCUCGCUGUUUUUUCUCAAGGCCUCUCUGUGGUGGAUGAGCUCUCGCCCUCCUAUCUACGCCCCGGUAAGUUAAGGAAACAGCCACUGGCCCGUGUCUGCAUAGCAUAUGGAGAAUCACACCAGGAGGAAGUCAGUACAAUACUCAUUUCCAAGAGCUCAACAAUCGCCUGCUAAUAAUGAAGGACAUAAAACAUAAACAACCAGUGAUUCCCAAGCCGAUUCGUAAGCAUUUGUACACAAAAGCAGACACUUCGGCCAUUCUCUCAAGGCUGGAACACGCAGAACAGUCUGUUCCCUUUGGUUAAACAUGUUUGUUAGAGAUUUAAGACCAGAUUGGUGGGGAAACAGAGGACAGGGAGGAUCAAUGUCCUGGCUUAAACCACAGCGCCUUGUUCUCCGUCUCAAUGCUUUGAUCGGGGCCGUAUCUCUGUACCUGUGCUCUCGGAUCCGACUUAUUCAAUUACAUUUGAGCUGAUUCCAAAUGAGAAAAAGAGAAGCCAAGAAAAAAAGUGCAUUUUCAUGCUGGCGCGGAAGAACAGUGUCUUGCCGUCUAACAUUGAUUUCCAAUACGACAGUCCUAACAUGUCCAGAUACACUAAAACAGGACAAGAUUAGUCCAAACCGCCCUAUCAUGCUAUUUGAAGCGAAGAUCAGGGAAUGCAUUUUCCACAAUCUAAAAAAGCCACUUAAAGAUUGUUGACCUUAAUGGAAGAAGUGCAGAGACAGUAUGGAGUUUCUCUACAACAUUUGAACUUGAUUUGAUCCAAAUUGGAUAUAUGUAUGUAUGUAUUUAUAUUAGGGGUGUAACGGUACGAGUAUUUGUCCUGAACCAUCAUGGUAUGGACGUCAUGUUUCAGUCAGACGAUGAAUACAGUCAGUCACAGGCAAUCCACACUCCAAUCCAGAAGGGGGCGUGUGGUAAUGCAACGCUGUUUGUUACCAGUAAAAAGCGCAGAAUAAGAACAGAUGAUCUAUGCAUAGAUAUGUUUAUGUGUAAUCUCUCAACCAGUGUUUCAACCGUGGAAUUUUUUUUUUUUUUUUUUUUUUUUUUGAUUGUUGAUUAUUAUAUCCAAAAAUAAAAAUAGCAACUGAAUGUAAUAGUUUGGUCUCUGUUGUUAAUUGUAACCUUUAAUAUUACAGUAAUGUGCAAGAAACGGCUGCCUGUACAUAGUUUACAGCAUUAGCUGAGAGAGAUUUUUUUAUCCUUAAGAAAAUGUUAAUUUAUUUAAAGAGAGAGGCAAUUUGUUCAAUAAACCACUGUUUAAUAAAAAAGAAGAAAAAAAGAAGCAAUUUUAUGUUUGAAGGCCAUGUUACUAGCAUCUGUAAAACCGCAUUCUUCCAUCUUAAAAAUAUAUCUAAACUACGACAUAUGCUCUCAAUGAAAAAUGCAGAACAGUUAGUUCAUGCGUUCAUGACCUCAAGGCUAGAUUACUGUAAUGCUCUACUGGGUGGUUGUUCUGCUCGCCUGAUAAAUAAACUACAGCUCGUACAAAAUGCAGCAGCUAGAGUUCUUACUAGAACCAGGAAGUAUGACCAUAUUAGCCCAGUUCUGUCAACACUGCAUUGGCUUCCUGUUAAACAUCGUAUAGAUUUUAAAAUCUUGCUAAUUACUUACAAAGCACUAAAUGGUUUAGCUCCCCAGUACCUGAGCGAGCUCCUAAUUCAUUAUAGUCCUUCACGUCUAUUGCGAUCUCAGAAUUCAGGCCAGCUGAUAAUACCUAGAAUAUCAAAAUCAACUGCAGGUGGUAGAUCCUUCUCCUAUUUGGCACCUAAACUCUGGAACAAUCUUCCUAGCAUUGUUCGGGAAGCAGACACACUCUGUCAGUUUAAAUCUAGACUAAAAACGCAUCUCUUUAACCUGGCAUACACAUAACACAUUACCAAUUUAUAUUUCCAAAUCCGUUAAAGGAUUAUUAGGCUGCAUAAAUUAGGUCAGCCGGAACCGGGAACACUUCCUAUAACACCUGAUGUACUCGUUACAUCAGAAGAAGAAUGGCAUCUACGCUAAUAUUAGUCUUUCUGUUUAUCCCGAGGUUCACCGUAGUCAACCGGAUCCGGGCCGUAUCCAGGUGAGACCAAGGACCUGCACCUUGACACGACCACAACACAGCCCUGAAGUAUCAGCAGAGAUUGAGUCAACUAGAUCAUCCACUGUGAAGGCCUCAUCGACACGACAGCCACGACACAGUUCCUCAACAACCGUCCAUACCGGCGUGAUGAAUACGAUCCUCAAUUGGAUGGAACUGAAAUAAAUACUUUUAAUGUUGCGAUCCUAUUGGACUUAUGAUAGCAACCUGAAUUGUAACAAAGCACUGUUGGCCAGAGGAGAACUGGCACCCCGACUAAGCCUGGUUUCUCCCAAGGUUUUUUUCUCCAUUUUAACACCAAUUUGCCACUUGUCUGCCACCUGAUGUCACCUGAUGGAGUUUGGGUUCCUUGCCGCUGUCGCCUCUGGCUUGCUUAGUUGGGGACACUUGACUUGACAUUUGAUAUUCAACAGUGCUUUGAUCUGCCUGCAUUGACACUAUUCUUUAAGAGCUGCUGUGCAGCCAAACAAUGUACCAGUUAUCAAUGUAAAGCUGCUUUGACACAAUCUACAUUGUAAAAAGCGCUAUAUAAAUAAAGGUGACUUGAC
Molecule: long non-coding RNA, 3552 nt
Organism: Ctenopharyngodon idella (grass carp)
Lineage: Eukaryota; Metazoa; Chordata; Actinopteri; Cypriniformes; Xenocyprididae
Exons: 3
Source: RefSeq, a predicted model, not a curated record